RNAcentral lists this ribosomal RNA (253 nucleotides) under uncultured bacterium. RNAcentral describes it as "partial 16S ribosomal RNA". It matches the Rfam family "Bacterial small subunit ribosomal RNA", at positions 524 to 776 of the family's 1533-position model. The record is from RNAcentral.
UACAGAGGGGGCAAGCGUUGUUCGGAAUUAUUGGGCGUAAAGCGCGCGCAGGCGGUCCUUUAAGUCUGAUGUGAAAGCCCACGGCUCAACCGUGGAGGGUCAUUGGAAACUGGGGGACUUGAGUGCAGGAGAGAAGAGUGGAAUUCCACGUGUAGCGGUGAAAUGCGUAGAGAUGUGGAGGAACACCAGUGGCGAAGGCGGGUCUCUGGACAGUUCCUGACGCUGAGGCACGAAGGCCAGGGGAGCAAACGGG